Non-coding RNA from Monodelphis domestica (gray short-tailed opossum), 867 nucleotides. NCBI's taxonomy places the organism in Eukaryota, Metazoa, Chordata, Mammalia, Didelphimorphia, Didelphidae. The record is from RefSeq and is a predicted model, not a curated record.
UCCAGGCUUUAGGAGUCCUGGCUUCCGCUCCCCCAAAACUUUGGAGCACCCUUUCCUAAGUCUUGUCAACUCCCCUUCACUUAGUCCCCAGGGCUGAUUCUUGAACCAUCUCCAGACUCGAGGCUACCUCCUGCCAGAUUUGCGCAACCCUAAAUUCCACUUCAGAAACUCAGUCUCCGCUGUUAAUCGGGAUUUUUCCUGAGAAUGGGCCUGCAGAUGGCUAGUUGUUUGACGCGGGAUCGGCUCCUCUCCGGGUUAUUUCCCUCUCAUUUUCUCCUGGAGUGGAUCGAGAGAGGUUGAGGUCGCCGACGGCAGCUUCAAAUUCCUCCAUAUAGGACUUGUCACUUUGACUGAAGUGAUCUGGAGAACCAAACCCACAUAGGUGACCCUAGCCAAAAGGAGGUUCAGAGGAGCAGCUAAGGGGGCCCAGCGUGGGCUUGAUGUCCCGUCUUCCAGUGCUGGAAAAGGCUUCUUCCUAGGAAUUCAAAUCACCUCUUCGGGCGAAAGCGAGAAACGGCUACAACGAAUUCGGUUUAGACUCAAUCCGACUUUCAGGGUUUCGGGUUCUCCAGACACCCCUUUCAUUUACCCUACUGUCGAGAAAGGAACCUGGCGCUCCUCUGCUGGGCCCUGAUUGCUCAGGCCUUUUGAAGCCGCCACUUUUUACUUAAAACCAAACCUCUGGCCUUUGCCUCCUGCCGCUUGCCCAGCCCCAACCUCUUUCUCCUCCAGCCUUCCAACAUAGGGCUGCCCCGCAGCUAAUCCCUUCACGUAUGGAGGGAGAGGCUGUAUUCUCCUCUUUUCUCCUCUUCCCCAGGUGUGAAUCCCUGGGGCAACGGAGACCCCAAUUAAAAAGUCUCUCAACCA